This 301-nucleotide ribosomal RNA is filed under the name uncultured bacterium. Its description in RNAcentral is "partial 16S ribosomal RNA". It matches the Rfam family "Bacterial small subunit ribosomal RNA", at positions 509 to 807 of the family's 1533-position model. The record is from RNAcentral.
CAGUCGCCGCGGGAAUACAGAGGGUGCGAGCGUUAAUCGGAUUUACUGGGCGUAAAGCGUGCGUAGGCGGCUUUUUAAGUCGGAUGUGAAAUCCCUGAGCUUAACUUAGGAAUUGCAUUCGAUACUGGGAAGCUAAAGUAUGGGAGAGGAUGGUAGAAUUCCAGGUGUAGCGGUGAAAUGCGUAGAGAUCUGGAGGAAUACCGAUGGCGAAGGCAGCCAUCUGGCCUAAUACUGACGCUGAGGUACGAAAGCAUGGGGAGCAAACAGGAUUAGAUACCCGAGUAGUCCCUGUCUCUUAUAC